AACUAUUUUGAAGGCUAAGAGAUAUUUGCAGGAAAUCUAAGAAAAAGCUGUUCAUCCAGUCUCCUCAGUGCUUUCAUUUAACUAGCGAUAAUUAACUCCCUUCUCAGAGUUAGGAAUCUAGGAACCAUUUCUGUCCCUGGAUAAACUGUUUCUGGGCACUGCAUCCCCACCCGGAAAAUAGGAAUUGCCAGACUGGAUAAGAACAGAGGUCCGCCAGCACCAGAGACAGAAAGUCCUCUCAUGUCCAUGGGACGAGACUUCUGGGUUCAAGGACUCAAAGACAGGUCAGUAUCUGCAAAGCCAAUGGACACAGCGACAGAAGAACAGGAUACCCUCUGCAGGACAGGAUGGUCCAGGACAGAAGAGCCAACAGCAGCAUUAAUCUAAGGGAACAGCAAUGAGUGACACUGACACAACGUCAUGGACACAACAAACUCCACACCGUAGACAGAUAUUAGCUCAAAGGGUCUGGUGUGCAAAUCAGAGUCAGGCACAGAAGCAUCAUAGCUGUAAAAACUAGGCUUGUCUACAACAGACGUAGCUAAUGAGAAAUCUGAAUUGUGUGGUUUCCUUCUGGUAAUCCUAGCUCUAUUCCCUGAGCAGCUUUGUAUGCAGUGCCAAAUGUGAGGCCAGGAGGACAGGCACCAGUGGAGAUAGUAUAUACUUCAUCAGACUAGCACUAGUGUAACUGGGUUUAUAUCCUUCCCUCUUGAAAAAUGGAACCAUCAUCUCAAGGACACUGCCGGAGAACAGAAGCCCUUAGGCUGUACCUGACCUUAGAUGGCAGCAGGCUGGUUCCAGAAAGCUUAAAUUUUUUAGAUCUUCCACAAUGGCGUAACCACUGACAACAACAGUCAUUAUGCUAGAAAAAUCCCACCUUCAGCCAUCAAUAGUUCAAAUAUUCAGCACACUUCUGGAGGACAAGUUUAGGAAUUUGUUGAUCCGCAUGACACCUAUGGCUGUGUCAUAUCUCAUUGACUGGCAAUAGGAGGUAUCCUGCCAAUGAAAGCUUACAACUCUGGGAUCAGCCUGUGCAACCCUCAUGAGCCACGGUGGGGGUUACUCACAGAGUCUGAGCAACAGACUCUGACUCUAAAGGAAUUAAGAAAACUUUUGAAACUGACAGCUAGUCCUGUUCAACCUCCAGCGGCAAUGCAUUCUGUUACAGCACUUUCCAUUUGGAAGUCAAAACCCUCAGCCUGAACACAGCCGUUGUUACAAUAUAUAUCUGUGAUUAUCCAGGGUUAGAUGAGUAAAGCUGCUUUAGAGAUUCCUUGAAAUGAGCAUGUACCUCCAUAAAGGUUAACUUGGAGUUACACAAAAUGCAUGAAAGAUGAACAGUAUUCAGUAUUAAUACUCUUCAGAAUUUUACAACGAAUGAGCUACACGUCAUUGAUUAUUUACAGAGAGCUCUACACCAUCGUAAUUCCAAAGUAAUAGCACGAUAUAUAUGCCCUGAAGCUUGUUGGAAUGGAAAAAAUGUUACCAGUGAUAUUUGGUAAAAUAAGUGCAGUAUAAAGGUCAUUGUGAGGAGGUGUAAAGUUACAAGAUAUCUUGGCCAUGAAAUUCAGUUGAAAUAAAUUCAGGAAUUAUUAAUCUGUCCUUAGAGUGAUAUGAUGCAUUGGCAAAUCUGCAGUGAACUGAAUUUCACUUAGGUUUUCGUUUUAAGGGAAAACUGAAGAGGGGAAAAAAAAACCCCGCCCAGCUGCACAAAGAUUUUAGAAUGUUCCCACAGCAGAACUGCUGUUUUGACAGAGCUUUAGCUUCAACUGGCAGCAUGUCCCAUAAGAGUUUUUUCCUCCUUUUUUAUACAAAGAUAGUGUUUAGUAUUGUAUCUCUGUGUUUGCCUGGAGCAAUCUGAGGUGCUAGGUUUUUCUAAUAGUUAUUCACAUUUGAUUUUCAUAUUAUGGCUGUUCAAGGUUUGCAAUGGUGUUUUAGUUUUAAUUUGACAGAAAUUAAUAAGAGAAGGAGAAAGAAAUCAUACAUCAGGCCUGUACAGCAGUCCUGUCACACAGCCUAAUUUGUUAGACAAUAAGAAUAAUCUACCACUUCCAAUUUAGACUCAGUAAAAUAAACACAUGUAUAUUAAUGAUUUAAAAAUAUUUCUGUUCAGUCAAGCAUGUCUUCUUUAUGCAGAAUAGCAUCAGAUCAAUAAUUAGUUGCCAUACAUUUUAAUAACCAGAGUUUUAGUUUAGGAUUGUUUUUCAUAAUUUUGCAUUUAUGUUUGACAAGUUCAGGAGCUGGUCUUAUUUGAAAGAGAAAACAUUAAUGCAAAAAUUACUUCUCAUUGUAUUAUUGCUCACCACAUCUAAUAUGUAAAUACCCAGACGAACUCACGCUUAUAUUAGCACAGAGAGGAUCAUAGAAAUCUUAUAGACAAAGUCUAUUUGUCCCACUUUACUCCACGCAUUAGUAUUCUCUACAGUACUUAAUUAUUCAGGGUUGUACUUUUAAAUUAAAAAUAGAUAUUGUACAUAAAUGAUCAUUUGAGUGGAAGAGCAUGAAAAUAUUGUCAAAAUGAAAUAUAUGAUAAGUUUCCUUAAGGUGUAUUUCUGGUCAAUGGCACAUCAUAGUGACAUGACCUAAUGUAAACAUUUUACCCUUCAUUAUGGGUUUAAAAAAAUGUGUCAGUGACUGGUUGUAAUGUGGAAAACAAGAAAGGAGCCAGCUGAAAUUGCUGUAUAAUCAAACACAGCAUGAACAUAUUAUUUAAUAGUGGAUGCAUUUGUGUAUAAUUGUUGAGGAGUGUAAGAAUUGUUACCUUUAGUUACAAAAGCCAUGACUGUCAAGAAAAUAUAAUUUUUGGUCUAGGGAAAUAAUUUUUGUCGCAAUGGUUUUACUCAAAAUAAUUUAUUAAUUUCAAUGUUGAUUGCUGACAAUUAUGCAGGGAUUUGGCUGAUUCUAGAAAAUUGCUCUGCCUGUAACUGUUGGGUGCUGUGGUGGACCAUAUGACACGCUGCUAUGAAAGGAAGUUUUCAUCUCCUGCUCCGUGAUGUCUGCAAAAAUGACCUACUCCAAGACAAGCCAGUUUCCAUGUACAGUAGCUGAGAACAGUGAUCAUUUGGCAGGAAAAGCAAAAAGCCACAAGCACUUGAGAGUACUGUGUAGGGCCUGAAAAAGCUGCAGGACUUCUCUAGCUGUUACCCAGGUGGUGAAGAGGUUUGAACACAAGACACAGGGAGCCAGGAACUCCUGAAUUUUAGCCCACUUAAGGCCUUACCGACAGAUAACCUAAGGCCUUAUCUACAUUGGGAAUUAGUACCAGUUACACCCGUUUGUGUAAUUACACCAGUGUAGUUGCACCAGUAUAAAACCCUCUGUAGGCCAGGAAAGCUGUGAUUUACACAGGCGGCGUUUACCCUGGUUUCAAGCAGAGGUCCUUGCCUACUCUAGAGGGUUGGUUCUCCACUGCCCCGGCACAGCACUUUAAUUUACACCACUGGUGGCAGAGGCCCGUCCAAAGCGGAGAAUUGGGCACAGGGAAACCUCCUCCUCAGACACAUACUCUGCUUCACCUUAAGAAGGGGGUAUUCUGGUGCAGGAGACAGCAGAGCUGGUCAUGGAGCCACCUUCGGCAGCUUUUUAUACCUGGGUAUAUCCUCGGCAUAGGAGGAUUUCUCUGGCUGCUUUAAGUUCGAACUGGAGAAUGGGUUUACAUUAGGGCAGCUCCAGCAAUGGCAGAAAUGAAAAUCAGGCCUUUGUGGCCUUGGGCACGUCACAGUCCUUCAGCCUCGGUUUGGCCACCUACGGAACAGGCCCAGUGCUUUAUCAUGUAUAUCACAGGGCUGUUG
Long non-coding RNA from Chelonia mydas (Green sea turtle), 3791 nucleotides. RefSeq lists it as uncharacterized. The transcript is spliced from 3 exons. The record is from RefSeq and is a predicted model, not a curated record. NCBI's taxonomy places the organism in Eukaryota, Metazoa, Chordata, Testudines, Cheloniidae.